UGGGGAAUCUUGCGCAAUGGGCGAAAGCCUGACGCAGCAACGCCGCGUGGGGGAUGAAGGCUCUCGGGUUGUAAACCCCUUUCAGCAGGGACGAAACUGACGGUACCUGCAGAAGAAGGACCGGCCAACUACGUGCCAGCAGCCGCGGUAAUACGUAGGGUCCGAGCGUUGUCCGGAUUUAUUGGGCGUAAAGAGCUCGUAGGCGGCUUACUAAGUCGAGUGUGAAAACUCCAGGCUCAACCUGGAGCCUGCACUUGAUACUGGUAUGGCUAGAGUCCGGUAGGGGACCACUGAAUUCCUGGUGUAGCGGUGAAAUGCGCAGAUAUCAGGAGGAACACCGGUGGCGAAGGCGGUGGUCUGGGCCGGCACUGACGCUGAGGAGCGAAAGCGUGGGGAGCAAACAG
RNAcentral lists this ribosomal RNA (404 nucleotides) under uncultured bacterium. Its description in RNAcentral is "bacterial SSU rRNA". It matches the Rfam family "Bacterial small subunit ribosomal RNA", at positions 355 to 775 of the family's 1533-position model. The record is from RNAcentral.